AUUGAACGCUGGCGGCAUGCUUUACACAUGCAAGUCGAACGGCAGCGCGUGCUUCGGCCUGGCGGCGAGUGGCUAACGGGUGAGUAAUACAUCGGAACGUGCCCAGUAGUGGGGGAUAGCUCGGCGAAAGCCGGAUUAAUACCGCAUACGACCUGAGGGUGAAAGCGGGGGAUCUUCGGACCUCGCUCUAUUGGAGCGUCCGAUGGCAGAUUAGCUAGUUGGUGGGGUAAAGGCCUACCAAGGCGACGAUCUGUAGCUGGUCUGAGAGGACGACCAGCCACACUGGGACUGAGACACGGCCCAGACUCCUACGGGAGGCAGCAGUGGGGAAUUUUGGACAAUGGGCGAAAGCCUGAUCCAGCAAUGCCGCGUGUGUGAUGAAGGCAUUCGGGUUGUAAAGCACUUUUGGCGGGAACGAAAAGGACUGUGCCAAUACCAAGGUUAGAUGACGGUACCCGCAGAAUAAGCACCGGCUAACUACGUG
Molecule: ribosomal RNA, 484 nt
Filed under: uncultured bacterium
Lineage: Bacteria
Description: partial 16S ribosomal RNA
Rfam family: Bacterial small subunit ribosomal RNA
Source: RNAcentral